Molecule: non-coding RNA, 30 nt
Filed under: Mus musculus (house mouse)
Lineage: Eukaryota; Metazoa; Chordata; Mammalia; Rodentia; Muridae
Source: RNAcentral
UGUUGUCAGUAUUGACAGUCCAAGACCUAC